Molecule: ribosomal RNA, 406 nt
Filed under: uncultured bacterium
Lineage: Bacteria
Description: partial 16S ribosomal RNA
Rfam family: Bacterial small subunit ribosomal RNA
Source: RNAcentral
AUUGAACGCUGGCGGCAGGCCUAACACAUGCAAGUCGAACGAGUGGCGGACGGGUGAGUAAUGUCUAGGAAUCUGCCUGGUAGUGGGGGAUAACGUCCGGACACGGGCGCUAAUACCGCAUACUAUCAGAUGAGCCUAGGUCGGAUUAGCUAGUUGGUGGGGUAAAGGCCUACCAAGGCGACGAUCCGUAACUGGUCUGAGAGGAUGAUCAGGCACACUGGAACUGAGACACGGUCCAGAAUCCGACGGGAGGAAGCAGUGGGGAAGAUUGGAAAAUGGGCGAAAGCCUGAUCCAGCCAUGCCGCGUGUGUGAAGAAGGUCUUCGGGUUGUAAAGUACUUGCAGCGGGGAGGCGUUACCCGCAGAAGAAGCACCGGCUAACUCCGUGCCAGCAGCCGCGGUAAUUC